RNAcentral lists this long non-coding RNA (208 nucleotides) under Gossypium raimondii (Peruvian cotton). RNAcentral describes it as "long non-coding RNA (GRAI_LNC003507)". Lineage: Eukaryota; Viridiplantae; Streptophyta; Magnoliopsida; Malvales; Malvaceae. The record is from RNAcentral.
GCAUCUAUACUUUUAUUUUUGUUUACUUAAAUUGUAGAUGAUUUGGUAAGUUGUAUUUAUUAGUCAUACAAACUUACUAAGCUUAAUUGCUUACUCCGUUUUAAUUUUCGUGUUUAAUAGUGAUUCAGAAGCUUGCUCGGUUUGGAAGUUAUCGGAGACCGCGUCACACUAUCAAAUGCUCAUUUCGGUACUAUUUUGGGUAAAUGGC